UACGUCGGGUGCAAGCGGUAAUCGGCAUUACUGGGCGUAAAGCGUGCGCAGGCGGUUAUAUAAGACAGAUGUGAAAUCCCCGGGCUCAACCUGGGAACUGCAUUUGUGACUGUAUAGCUAGAGUACGGCAGAGGGGGAUGGAAUUCCGCGUGUAGCAGUGAAAGGCGUAGAUAUGCGGAGGAACACCGAGGGCGAAGGCAAUCCCCUGGGCCUGUACUGACGCUCAUGCACGAAAGCGUGGGGAGCACACAGGAGGAGAUACCCCGGUAGUCC
RNAcentral lists this ribosomal RNA (273 nucleotides) under uncultured bacterium. Its description in RNAcentral is "partial 16S ribosomal RNA". It matches the Rfam family "Bacterial small subunit ribosomal RNA", at positions 524 to 796 of the family's 1533-position model. The record is from RNAcentral.